AGCAGAUGGUGGUUACAUUCGGUAUGUCGGACAUUGGUCCGUGGUCGCUAAUGGACUCAGGAGCUCAGAGCGGCGAUGUCAUCAUGAGGAUGAUGGCAAGGAACUCCAUGUCGGAGAAGCUCGCGGAGGACAUCGAUACCGCUGUGAAGCGGUUGUCCGAUGAGGCCUACGAGAUCGCUUUGAGCCAGAUCAGGAGCAACCGGGAGGCCAUGGACAAGAUCGUGGAGGUGCUCCUUGAGAAGGAGACAUUGAGUGGUGACGAGUUCAGGGCGAUUCUCUCCGAGUUCACGGAGAUCCCUGUCGAGAACCGGGUUCCCCCAGCCACGCCGGCAGCUCUCCCUGCCUAAAUCCCACUAGUUUUGUAGGAAUGGAACAUGCUGUAAGAUGUUCAUAUUUUCGAUUCUUGGUGUACACUAACUUUACUUUGCCGGCCGGAUUUUUU
This 442-nucleotide unclassified non-coding RNA is filed under the name Hevea brasiliensis (rubber tree). The record is from RNAcentral. Lineage: Eukaryota; Viridiplantae; Streptophyta; Magnoliopsida; Malpighiales; Euphorbiaceae.